UGCUAACAAGUCGGCAGAAUGUGGCCCGGAGAGAAUCUCUGCUCCCUGCUUCAUUAAUCACAGGGUUGAUGCUGUCAGGAAAUGAUGAAUCUCCUCCUAAAUCCGACCAUUGAUUAAUGACUGGAUCAGGAUGGUAGGAAAAUGGGACACCAUCAACACCUGGUAGGAAGAGAGGAGUUAACACUUUCAGUCCCAAUGGAGUGAGCUAAAAAAAUGGAUUGUCACAGUUAAAUCUCUCCAUUCAACACCCAUCUAUAUAACAUGCAGGAUUCCAUUGAAAGCAGGCUCCUUGUGGCCCAAUGAACUAUCCUGGCAAACAAACUGCAAAUAAAUAAAUAAAUCUCAAGCAGCAGAUGUACGGGUGCAGGGGGAUGGCUUGCCCCGGUGAAAUUGAUGUUAUUCUGCUGCACUCAUCCUUUGUAGACUGGCAGCCUUGGACACACCUGGUAUUUCCUUCUCCCUCACCACUAGAUUAGGUAGGACAUACCUCAUGUUCUAAUCAUGCUUCCUUUUUUGGUCUUGCAUCUUUAACAUCCUCUCCUGCUUGCAGUUUUUUUCUUCCACCUUUCCAUACAUCAUUAUUAUGAAUCCUAUCCUGAAUUAAUUGAUAGUUACUACUGCCUUCCACUAAUGUACUUUCUGCCUGUUGCUACUGUACUUUUCAUAAAUUACAUCCAUAAGUGCACACUUUCAUACCAAAAUACAUGAAUGUUUUAUGAUAUGCUUUUGUUGACAUGAUAGUCAGUUCUCCUAUUUUAUAGUCUGUUUCUAUGCUGUUGAUAUGGUUAAGUUAUAUUUCUUUGAUAAUCUGUUAUUCUGUCUGUAUCGUUUUUAUAUAUGUUGUAUGCUAAAGCUUUUUCUCCCUGGGUCUUAACUGAAAACAGACUUGUAGCAGUUGGAAGUUUCUUACAACAAAUAAAUAAACAUAAAGAAACCUGCUUUCCAAAUUA
Molecule: long non-coding RNA, 950 nt
Organism: Protopterus annectens (West African lungfish)
Lineage: Eukaryota; Metazoa; Chordata; Ceratodontiformes; Protopteridae
Exons: 4
Source: RefSeq, a predicted model, not a curated record